GCCAGACGUGGUGGCACGCACCUGUCGUCCCAGCUACUCGGAGGCUGGGGCAGGAGGUUCGCUUGAGCCCAGGCAUUCUGGGCUGUAGUGCACUAUGCUGAUCAGGUGUCCAUACUAAGUUUGGCAUCAAUAUGGUGACCUCCCAGGAGCAGGGGACCACCAGGUGGCCUAAGGAGGGGUGAAUCGGCCGAGGUCAGAAACAGAGCAGGUCAAAACUCCCGUGCUGAUCAGUAGUGGGAUCGUGCCUGUGAACAGCCACUGCACUCCAGCCUGGGCAACACAGCGAGACCCUAUCUCA
Molecule: signal recognition particle RNA, 298 nt
Filed under: Prolemur simus (greater bamboo lemur)
Lineage: Eukaryota; Metazoa; Chordata; Mammalia; Primates; Lemuridae
Description: Metazoan signal recognition particle RNA (ENSPSMG00000014561.1)
Rfam family: Metazoan signal recognition particle RNA
About the family: The signal recognition particle (SRP) is a universally conserved ribonucleoprotein.
Source: RNAcentral